Molecule: ribosomal RNA, 273 nt
Filed under: uncultured bacterium
Lineage: Bacteria
Description: partial 16S ribosomal RNA
Source: RNAcentral
CUGCUGCCUUCCGUAGGAGUUUGGACCGUGUCUCAGUUCCAAUGUGGGGGACCUUCCUCUCAGAACCCCUACGCAUCGUCGGCUUGGUGGGCCGUUGCCCCACCAACUACCUAAUGCGCCGCAUGCCCAUCCGUGACCGGGGUCGCCCCCUUUGGCCGGCAGGGGAUGUCCCCUCCCGGCAUUAUGUUGUAUUAGGCGGGAUUUCUCCCGGUUAUCCAUCUGUCACGGCCAGGUUGCAUACGUGUUACUCACCCGUGCGCCGGUCGCCGGCGG